This is a non-coding RNA of Acanthosepion pharaonis, 99 nucleotides long. The record is from the annotation of a GenBank genome assembly. NCBI's taxonomy places the organism in Eukaryota, Metazoa, Mollusca, Cephalopoda, Sepiida, Sepiidae.
AUUAAAAUACCGGUUUCCGUAUGAUCACUGGAAUUACGCUAGCUCAAGCCUGACCAGUACGUAGAUCGGUGACCACUUGGGAAUACCAGGUGCUGUAAG